Molecule: transfer RNA, 84 nt
Filed under: Erysipelotrichia bacterium
Lineage: Bacteria; Bacillati; Bacillota; Erysipelotrichia
Description: tRNA-Leu
Rfam family: tRNA
About the family: Transfer RNA (tRNA) molecules are approximately 80 nucleotides in length.
Source: RNAcentral
GCACCGGUGGCGGAAUGGUAGACGCGUACGUUUGAGGGGCGUAUGGCAUUAGUCGUGUGAGUUCAAGUCUCAUUCGGUGCACCA